GAUGAAGAACGCAGCGAAAUGCGAUAAGUAGUGUGAAUUGCAGAAUUCAGUGAAUCAUCGAAUCUUUGAACGCACAUUGCGCCCCUUGGUAUUCCAUGGGGCAUGCCUGUUCGAGCGUCAUUUGUACCUUCAAGCUUUGCUUGGUGUUGGGUGUUUGUCUCGCCUUUGCGUGUAGACUCGCCUUAAAAUAAUUGGCAGCCGGCGUAUUGAUUUCGGAGCGCAGUACAUCUCGCGCUUUGCACUCAUAACGACAGCGUCCAAAAGUACAUUUUACACUCUUGACCUCGGAUCAGGUAGGGAUACCCGCUGAACUUAAGCAUAUCAAUAGCGGAGA
RNAcentral lists this unclassified non-coding RNA (334 nucleotides) under soil metagenome. Its description in RNAcentral is "partial contains 5.8S ribosomal RNA, internal transcribed spacer 2, and large subunit ribosomal RNA". The stretch from base 1 to 120 matches the Rfam family "5.8S ribosomal RNA", at positions 35 to 154 of the family's 154-position model. The record is from RNAcentral.